Molecule: ribosomal RNA, 305 nt
Filed under: uncultured bacterium
Lineage: Bacteria
Description: partial 16S ribosomal RNA
Rfam family: Bacterial small subunit ribosomal RNA
Source: RNAcentral
ACAGCAGUAGCCACGGUAAUACAGAGGGUGCGAGCGUUAAUCGGAUUUACUGGGCGUAAAGCGUGCGUAGGCGGCUUUUUAAGUCGGAUGUGAAAUCCCUGAGCUUAACUUAGGAAUUGCAUUCGAUACUGGGAAGCUAGAGUAUGGGAGAGGAUGGUAGAAUUCCAGGUGUAGCGGUGAAAUGCGUAGAGAUCUGGAGGAAUACCGAUGGCGAAGGCAGCCAUCUGGCCUAAUACUGACGCUGAGGUACGAAAGCAUGGGGAGCAAACAGGAUUAGAUACCCGGGUAGUCCCUGUCUCUUAUAC